UGGGGAAUAUUGCACAAUGGGCGCAAGCCUGAUGCAGCCAUGCCGCGUGUGUGAAGAAGGCCUUCGGGUUGUAAAGCACUUUCAGCGGGGAGGAAGGCGAUAAGGUUAAUAACCUCAUCGAUUGACGUUACCCGCAGAAGAAGCACCGGCUAACUCCGUGCCAGCAGCCGCGGUAAUACGGAGGGUGCAAGCGUUAAUCGGAAUUACUGGGCGUAAAGCGCACGCAGGCGGUCUGUCAAGUCGGAUGUGAAAUCCCCGGGCUCAACCUGGGAACUGCAUUCGAAACUGGCAGGCUAGAGUCUUGUAGAGGGGGGUAGAAUUCCAGGUGUAGCGGUGAAAUGCGUAGAGAUCUGGAGGAAUACCGGUGGCGAAGGCAGCCCCCUGGACAAAGACUGACGCUCAGGUGCGAAAGCGUGGGGAGCAAACAGG
This 429-nucleotide ribosomal RNA is filed under the name Chloroflexota bacterium. Its description in RNAcentral is "Chloroflexi bacterium partial 16S ribosomal RNA". It matches the Rfam family "Bacterial small subunit ribosomal RNA", at positions 355 to 776 of the family's 1533-position model. The record is from RNAcentral. Lineage: Bacteria; Bacillati; Chloroflexota.